This 253-nucleotide ribosomal RNA is filed under the name uncultured bacterium. Its description in RNAcentral is "partial 16S ribosomal RNA". It matches the Rfam family "Bacterial small subunit ribosomal RNA", at positions 524 to 776 of the family's 1533-position model. The record is from RNAcentral.
UACGUAGGGUGCAAGCGUUAAUCGGAAUUACUGGGCGUAAAGCGUGCGCAGGCGGUGAUGUAAGGCAGAUGUGAAAUCCCCGGGCUCAACCUGGGAACUGCAUUUGGGACUGCAUCGCUGGAGUGCGGCAGAGGGGGAUGGAAUUCCGCGUGUAGCAGUGAAAUGCGUAGAUAUGCGGAGGAACACCGAUGGCGAAGGCAAUCCCCUGGGCCUGCACUGACGCUCAUGCACGAAAGCGUGGGGAGCAAACAGG